Molecule: ribosomal RNA, 433 nt
Filed under: uncultured bacterium
Lineage: Bacteria
Description: partial 16S ribosomal RNA
Rfam family: Bacterial small subunit ribosomal RNA
Source: RNAcentral
AACGAACGCUGGCGGCAUGCCUAACACAUGCAAGUCGAACGAGACCUUCGGGUCUAGUGGCGCACGGGUGCGUAACGCGUGGGAACCUGCCCUUAGGUUCGGAAUAACUCCCCGAAGGGGGUGCUAAUACCGGAUAAUGUCUUCGGACCAAAGAUUUAUCGCCUUUGGAUGGGCCCGCGUUGGAUUAGCUAGUUGGUAGGGUAAAAGCCUACCAAGGCGACGAUCCAUAGCUGGUCUGAGAGGAUGAUCAGCCACACUGGGACUGAGACACGGCCCAGACUCCUACGGGAGGCAGCAGUGGGGAAUAUUGGACAAUGGGCGAAAGCCUGAUCCAGCAAUGCCGCGUGAGUGAUGAAGGCCUUAGGGUUGUAAAGCUCCUUUACCCGGGAUGAUAAUGACAGUACCGGGAGAAUAAGCUCCGGCUAACUCCGUG